AGAGUUUGAUCAUGGCUCAGGAUAAACGCUGGCGGCGCACAUAAGACAUGCAAGUCGAACGGACUUAAUCGAUUCUUUUAGAUUCGAAGCGGUUAGUGGCGGACUGGUGAGUAACACGUAAGCAACCUGCCUAUUAGAGGGGAAUAACAGUGAGAAAUCAUUGCUAAUACCGCAUAAGCUGAUAGUAUCGCAUGAUAUAGUCAGAAAAGGAGCAAUCCGCUAAUAGAUGGGCUUGCGUCUGAUUAGCUAGUUGGUGAGGUAAUGGCUUACCAAGGCGACGAUCAGUAGCCGAGCUGAGAGGCUCUACGGCCACAUUGGGACUGAGAUACGGCCCAGACUCCUACGGGAGGCAGCAGUCGGGAAUAUUGCGCAAUGGAGGGAACUCUGACGCAGUGACGCCGCGUAUAGGAAGAAGGUUUUCGGAUUGUAAACUAUUGUCGUGAGGGAAGAAAAAUGACAGCACCUCAGGAGGAAGCUCCGGCUAACUAUGUGCCAGCAGCCGCGGUAAUACAUAGGGAGCAAGCGUUAUCCGGAUUUAUUGGGUGUAAAGGGUGCGUAGACGGAGAAGCAAGUUGGUUGUGAAAUCCCUCGGCUCAACUGAGGAACUGCAACCAAAACUACUUCCCUUGAGUGUCGGAGAGGAAAGUGGAAUUCCUAGUGUAGCGGUGAAAUGCGUAGAUAUUAGGAGGAACACCAGUGGCGAAGGCGACUUUCUGGACGAUAACUGACGUUGAGGCACGAAAGUGUGGGGAGCAAACAGGAUUAGAUACCCUGGUAGUCCACACUGUAAACGAUGGAUA
This 800-nucleotide ribosomal RNA is filed under the name uncultured bacterium. Its description in RNAcentral is "bacterial SSU rRNA". It matches the Rfam family "Bacterial small subunit ribosomal RNA", at positions 8 to 815 of the family's 1533-position model. The record is from RNAcentral.